AGUGAACGCUGGCGGUAGGCCUAACAUAUGCAAGUCGAACGGCAGCACAGUAAGAGCUUGCUCUUACGGGUGGCGAGUGGCGGACGGGUGAGGAAUACAUCGGAAUCUACUUUUUCGUGGGGGAUAACGUAGGGAAACUUACGCUAAUACCGCAUACGACCUACGGGUGAAAGCAGGGGAUCUUCGGACCUUGCGCGAUUGAAUGAGCCGAUGUCGGAUUAGCUAGUUGGCGGGGUAAAGGCCCACCAAGGCGACGAUCCGUAGCUGGUCUGAGAGGAUGAUCAGCCACACUGGAACUGAGACACGGUCCAGACUCCUACGGGAGGCAGCAGUGGGGAAUAUUGGACAAUGGGCGCAAGCCUGAUCCAGCCAUACCGCGUGGGUGAAGAAGGCCUUCGGGUUGUAAAGCCCUUUUGUUGGGAAAGAAAAGCAGCAGGUUAAUACCCCGCUGUUCUGACGGUACCCAAAAAAUAAGCACCGGCUAACUUCGUG
RNAcentral lists this ribosomal RNA (492 nucleotides) under uncultured bacterium. RNAcentral's name for it is "partial 16S ribosomal RNA". It matches the Rfam family "Bacterial small subunit ribosomal RNA", at positions 29 to 507 of the family's 1533-position model. The record is from RNAcentral.